ACUAUCUUAUCAUUCUUCUUUCUAAAAAAAAAAAAAAUACUCUUUCUCUAACUCUCUCACUCUCUCACCCUAACUCUCUCUCUCUAUACUUUUCAUCUUCUUCUUCUCAAGAGAGAAGAUCUUGAGAAGAAGAGCCGCCGCCUCCCUCUCUAACUCCUCUCCCUAGCACACCACCAUCUUCGUCUCCACCACGACGGCAACAACACGAGAGACCACCGCUGUCCAGCAGCUCCUCGACAGCUGCAACGGCGGACAACAACUUCUCUGCUGCAACAACACGUAUGACGAGCACCUCUCCUCUCACGUCACCAUGGCGAACUGCGUCAGCCACCAGCGAAGCAGCAGACCCCGAGGAAGCACAUUUCACCUUAAUUGAAAUCGAUUCGGUUGUAAUAUUCAAGAGUUCACAAGACGGAUCCGUAAUAGAUCCGUCCGAGUAAGUUUUCUAAUCACUAUUUUUUAUCUUUUGAUUACUUAUUCUCUCUAGGAACUAGUUCUAAGACAUGUCGUUUGGUGAUUCAAUGUAACCAUUUUUUUAAAUAUUUUUUUUAGAUUAACUUGUUUGUUUGAUAUGCUGUUAAUAUAUUUAGCCUUUGUUGAAAACACCAUUGCAGGUUGUUUAUGCCUAAAUACCUAUUUAGAGCUUUAAUACUUUUCUGUUUGGUUGAAUAUAAUAUGCCCCUUUGUGAUUUGUUGUUGAUUCUUCUUUGAAUUUUUAACAAUAAUAAGGGUUGAUUCUUGACUUUAUACGAUUUGAUUGAUAAUUGAUUUUCUUUAAUUUUGAGGGCACCCUUAACGAUUUCUCUAAUAAAAAAAAAGAUUUUUUUUUGAAUAAUUCUCUUUGUUAAUGAAGCCUUGAUUUAGUCUUAUUUUAAAUAAGUUCAAUUUAUUUUAGUCACUGAUUCAUAUUUUAUAUAGAUAGUUAUUUAAUUAAUUAUUUUUUCUUCUUUCUUGUUCUUUUCUUACUCUCCUAGAUUUUACUUAUUAUUGUUAUGGCAAAUUUUUGACUUGCUUCGUUCAAAUGGUUUCCUUCUUUAUUAUUAUUUUAUUUUUAUUUGAUUGAUUAUGCAUAUAUAUUAGUAGUUAAUUUAGAUAUUUUUAUUAAUUACUUGCCUAAUUUGGUAUUACCGUUAUAUCAUAAAUGAUAUGCUAGCACACUAAUUAUUGUGUUUCCUUAAAACCCUUUCUUUUAAGCUUAAUUUUUGUAAAAUAUUUUCCAAGUACUGAUUAUUGAGUUGUCUUCCUCGCUCCCUUUCACAUAAUUUAUGAGCUUUUUAUAUUUAUUUAUUCUUUUUGGUUUUUUUUUUUGGUUGUGAAUAUUAUUGUUCUAAGUGUUGUGAUCUUGACGGACAACUUUGACAUUCUUAAGCUCUAUACACUAUAUUAACAUCACAAGUGAACAAACAUUUCAUACCUCUGGAUUACUAAAGUUAUAAUAUUUUAUAUUUUGUUUAGAUCCAUACUUUGAUUUUGUUUACUUGCAAAAUCUGAAAUAUUAUACACUGUUGGAAGUUUGAAUUUUUUUUUUUAUAUACUUGAAUACUUAUUCUAAUUAAAUUGCAUAGUUUUUAUCAAUUAUUGAUGGUGGGUCCUUUGGCAUAACUUUUGACUUUUUUUUUGAAACAUCUUUUGAAUAAAGUUUUGAUCAAAUCUAAAAAGAAGAUGUGGUUUUGAUUUUUGUGGAGAAAAUUUUGAAAAUCUUGUCAUAUUUUGAAAUGAAAUACACCAUCUUUGACUUAUUUGUAAAAUGUUUGAAAUUCAAAAUCUAGCUAGUGAUUUUGUUGAUUUCAUUAUCUUUUACCCAUGGGUGUAUCACUAUUAAAAAAAACACAAACAGAGAGAAAGAGAACAACACAAAACAAAAAACACAAAGAGUAGAGAAAGGAAAAGAACAAAAAAUAUAUUCUACUUUAUAUUUCUUUACACACCUAAAACGAAAACAAAAGACAGUAAGAAAAAUUUCUUACAUACUUUAUUAUUGUUUUGCUUGUUCUCAACAUCACAAGUUAGAUUCUAUUUGCCUAUUCUUCCUAACUAAAGUAUCCAGGGCUUGAACUUCAAAGUUCAAGACACGAGGAGUGCGAAAGUUUAAAAUGUCAUUAUUUCGUUUACAUUUUUUGUAUUAUUUAUCCACUUACCUUUUAUUUUAGUUUGUAAUAAU
This is a long non-coding RNA of Solanum dulcamara, 2161 nucleotides long. RefSeq lists it as uncharacterized. The transcript is spliced from 2 exons. The record is from RefSeq and is a predicted model, not a curated record. Lineage: Eukaryota; Viridiplantae; Streptophyta; Magnoliopsida; Solanales; Solanaceae.